RNAcentral lists this ribosomal RNA (496 nucleotides) under uncultured bacterium. RNAcentral describes it as "partial 16S ribosomal RNA". It matches the Rfam family "Bacterial small subunit ribosomal RNA", at positions 28 to 507 of the family's 1533-position model. The record is from RNAcentral.
GAUGAACGCUGGCGGCGUGCCUAAUACAUGCAAGUCGAGCGAACAGACGAGGAGCUUGUUCCGUUGACGUUAGCGGCGGACGGGUGAGUAACGCGUGGAUAACCUACUUAUAAGUCUGGGAUAAUUUCGGAAAACCGGAGCUAAUACCGGAUAAUAUAUUGAACCGCAUGGUUCAAUAGUGAAUGACGGCUUUGCUGUCUCUUAUAGCUGGUUCCGCGCCGCAUGAUCUGGUUGGUAAGGUAACGGCUUACCAAGGCAACGAUGCGUAGCCGACGUGAUGGGGGGAUCGGCCCCUGUGAAAGUGAGAGACGGCCCAGACACCUAGGGAAGGGAGCGGUAGGGACUCUUGCGAACAGGGCGAAAGCCUGACGAAGCAACGCCGCGGGGGUGAUGAAGCUCUUCGGGUCGUAAAACUGUGUUAUGAGGGAAAAACAAAUGUGUAUGUAACUAUGCGCGUCUGAAGGGUACCUAAGAAGAAGGCCCGGCUAAAUUCCGG